RNAcentral lists this ribosomal RNA (460 nucleotides) under uncultured bacterium. RNAcentral describes it as "partial 16S ribosomal RNA". It matches the Rfam family "Bacterial small subunit ribosomal RNA", at positions 338 to 795 of the family's 1533-position model. The record is from RNAcentral.
CCUACGGGUGGCAGCAGUGAGGAAUAUUGGUCAAUGGACGAGAGUCUGAACCAGCCAUGUCGCGUGAAGGAUGACUGCCCUAUGGGUUGUAAACUUCUUUUAUAUGGGGAUAAAACGCUCCACGUGUGGGAUUUUGUAUGUACCAUACGAAUAAGGAUCGGCUAACUCCGUGCCAGCAGCCGCGGUAAUACGGAGGAUCCGAGCGUUAUCCGGAUUUAUUGGGUUUAAAGGGAGCGUAGGCGGUUUGUUAAGUCAGUUGUGAAAUGUUGGGGCUCAACCCUGAAAUUGCAUUUGAUACUGGUGGUCUAGAGAACAGUAGAGGUGGGCGGAAUGCGUGGUGUAGCGGUGAAAUGCGUAGAGAUCAGGAAGAACACCGAUUGCGAAGGCAGUUCACUGAACUACAACUGACGCUGAGGCUCGAAAGCGUGGGUAGCAAACAGGAUUAGAUACCCUUGUAGUC